Molecule: unclassified non-coding RNA, 345 nt
Filed under: soil metagenome
Description: partial contains 5.8S ribosomal RNA, internal transcribed spacer 2, and large subunit ribosomal RNA
Rfam family: 5.8S ribosomal RNA (bases 1-120)
Source: RNAcentral
GAUGAAGAACGCAGCGAAAUGCGAUACGUAAUGUGAAUUGCAGAAAUCAGUGAAUCAUCGAGUCUUUGAACGCACAUUGCGCCCCCUGGUAUUCCGGGGGGCAUGGCUGUCCGAGCGUCAUUGCUGCCCUCAAGCACGGCUUGUGUGUUGGGCCUCCGUCCUCCUCCCGGGGGACGGGCCCGAAAGGCAGCGGCGGCACCGCGUCCGGUCCUCGAGCGUAUGGGGCUUCGUCACCCGCUCUUGUAGGCCCGGCCGGCGCUUGCCGACACAUCAAUCUUUUUUCCAGGUUGACCUCGGAUCAGGUAGGGAUACCCGCUGAACUUAAGCAUAUCAAUAAGCGGAGGA